Molecule: unclassified non-coding RNA, 184 nt
Filed under: uncultured Basidiomycota
Lineage: Eukaryota; Fungi; Basidiomycota
Description: sequence contains ITS1
Source: RNAcentral
GCGAAGUCAAGUCCGGAUCUGUAGGGAUUGCAGCUGGCCUAACGGCAUGUGCUCGUCCCUUGGGUUUGUGACCUUCACUACCACACCCCACUGUGAACCAAGCGGGAGGUCGAAAGGCCUCUUGCAUCUUAUACAAACCCCAAUCGCAUGUAUUAGAAUGUCAUAGCGUUAACUCGCAACUAUA